UGAGGCAUGAUAGUUCAGGGAAUUCGGCCAAUUAGAGCUGUAACUUCGGGAUAAAGCUUGGCUCUGAUGAAAAUCAGAACCGAUUGUUACGCGGAGAGCCCAACUGUUUAAUAAAAACGUAGUGUCGCGCUGUGGUAGUAUAGCCAGUGAACGCGACAUGAAUCCUGCUCAGUGCUGUGUCUGUUAAUAUGGUUCAAGCCAACGAAGCACCGGUAAAUAGCUGGGGUAACUAUGACUCUUAUCAAAGUAGCGAAAUACCUCGUCACUUAAUUAGUGACCUGCAUGAACGGAGCUAUGAGGUUCUCACUGUCCCAAACUGUCUCUCAGCGAACCAACUGUAGUGGGAACGGUCACUAGAUAUCCAGCGGGGAAAGAAGACCCUGUAGAGCUUCACUUUGGUCUAGUCUUGUAUAGUUCCUGCGGGGGUGUAGACUAGGUGGGAGAGCAAUCGAUUCUGAAAAACCACUACCCUGUUUGGAAUUAUGCUUACCUAUCACAAGGAAUAGGACUAGAUAGAAAGUUUGGCUGGGGCGGCACACCUUCGAAAGAGCAGCGAAGGUGUCCUAAGUUGAGCUCAGUGAGGACAGAAAUCUCACGUUGAGGAUAAGGCCAAAAGCUCAAUUUACUGUGCCUUUUUGUACUAGGAUCAGUUACGAAAGUAAGGCCUAACGAUCCCUAAAUAGCCUCAGGUGCGUGAGGAUUGGGGUGACAGACAAGUUACCUCCGGGACAACUGGCUUGUGGCUGCUAAGAGAUCAAAUCAACGCAGCUUUUUGAUUCUUCGAUGUCGGCUCUUCCUAUCCUAGUGAUGUACAAGUUGCUAAGGGUCGGAUUGUUCACCCGUAUUAGGGAUCGUGAGCUGGGUUUAGACCGUCGUGAGACAGGUUUGUUUUAUCCUACUGGAUAUAGCAUCAUGAUAGUAGAUUGAUUUAGUACGAGAAGAACUGU
RNAcentral lists this non-coding RNA (947 nucleotides) under Trichomonas vaginalis G3. RNAcentral describes it as "Eukaryotic large subunit ribosomal RNA". It matches the Rfam family "Eukaryotic large subunit ribosomal RNA", at positions 1891 to 3047 of the family's 3401-position model. The record is from Rfam by way of RNAcentral. Lineage: Eukaryota; Parabasalia; Trichomonadida; Trichomonadidae.